RNAcentral lists this transfer RNA (86 nucleotides) under Acidobacteriota bacterium. RNAcentral describes it as "Acidobacteria bacterium (hot springs metagenome) tRNA-Leu". It matches the Rfam family "tRNA". Rfam says of the family: Transfer RNA (tRNA) molecules are approximately 80 nucleotides in length. Their secondary structure includes four short double-helical elements and three loops (D, anti-codon, and T loops). The record is from RNAcentral. Lineage: Bacteria; Pseudomonadati; Acidobacteriota.
GCCGAAGUGGCGGAAUAGGCAGACGCAGGGGACUCAAAAUCCCCCGAGUCUUAGCACUCAUGAGGGUUCGACUCCCUCCUUCGGCA